UUAGUGGCGCACGGGUGCGUAACGCGUGGGAAUCUGCCCCUUGGUUCGGAAUAACAGUUGGAAACGACUGCUAAUACCGGAUGACGACGUAAGUCCAAAGAUUUAUCGCCGAGGGAUGAGCCCGCGUAGGAUUAGGUAGUUGGUGUGGUAAAGGCGCACCAAGCCGACGAUCCUUAGCUGGUCUGAGAGGAUGAUCAGCCACACUGGGACUGAGACACGGCCCAGACUCCUACGGGAGGCAGCAGUGGGGAAUAUUGGACAAUGGGCGAAAGCCUGAUCCAGCAAUGCCGCGUGAGUGAUGAAGGCCUUAGGGUUGUAAAGCUCUUUUACCCGGGAUGAUAAUGACAGUACCGGGAGAAUAAGCUCCGGCUAACUCCGUGCCAGCAGCCGCGGUAAUACGGAGGGAGCUAGCGUUAUUCGGAAUUACUGGGCGUAAAGCGCACGUAGGCGGCUUUGUAAGUAAGAGGUGAAAGCCCAGAGCUCAACUCUGGAAUUGCCUUUUAGACUGCAUCGCUUGAAUCAUGGAGAGGUCAGUGGAAUUCCGAGUGUAGAGGUGAAAUUCGUAGAUAUUCGGAAGA
RNAcentral lists this ribosomal RNA (578 nucleotides) under uncultured Sphingomonas sp. Its description in RNAcentral is "bacterial SSU rRNA". It matches the Rfam family "Bacterial small subunit ribosomal RNA", at positions 92 to 705 of the family's 1533-position model. Lineage: Bacteria; Pseudomonadati; Pseudomonadota; Alphaproteobacteria; Sphingomonadales; Sphingomonadaceae. The record is from RNAcentral.